Molecule: ribosomal RNA, 274 nt
Filed under: uncultured bacterium
Lineage: Bacteria
Description: partial 16S ribosomal RNA
Rfam family: Bacterial small subunit ribosomal RNA
Source: RNAcentral
AUACGGAGGGUGCAAGCGUUAUUCGGAAUCACUGGGCGUAAAGGACGCGUAGGCGGGUUGGCAAGUCAGAUGUGAAAUCCUACAGCUUAACUGUAGAACUGCAUUUGAAACUGCUAACCUAGAGUAUGGGAGGGGGAGAUGGAAUUAGUGGUGUAGGGGUAAAAUCCGUAGGUAUCACUAGGAAUACCGAAAGCGAAGGCGAUCUCCUGGAACAUAACUGACGCUAAGGCGUGAAAGCGUGGGGAGCAAACAGGAUUAGAAACCCUUGUAGUCC